AGGUGGGGCCGAGCAGCAAUGCU
This 23-nucleotide microRNA is filed under the name Gadus morhua (Atlantic cod). RNAcentral describes it as "gmo-miR-92-2-5p". Its record names the gene gmo-miR-92-2-5p. Lineage: Eukaryota; Metazoa; Chordata; Actinopteri; Gadiformes; Gadidae. The record is from miRBase by way of RNAcentral.